Molecule: ribosomal RNA, 218 nt
Filed under: uncultured bacterium
Lineage: Bacteria
Description: partial 16S ribosomal RNA
Rfam family: Bacterial small subunit ribosomal RNA
Source: RNAcentral
UAAUAUCGGAACGUGCCCAGUCGUGGGGGAUAACGUAGCGAAAGCUACGCUAAUACCGCAUACGAUCUACGGAUGAAAGCGGGGGAUCGCAAGACCUCGCGCGAUUGGAGCGGCCGAUAUCAGAUUAGCUAGUUGGUGGGGUAAAAGCCCACCAAGGCGACGAUCUGUAGCUGGUCUGAGAGGACGACCAGCCACACUGGAACUGAGACACGGUCCAG